This 2489-nucleotide unclassified non-coding RNA is filed under the name Hevea brasiliensis (rubber tree). The record is from RNAcentral. Lineage: Eukaryota; Viridiplantae; Streptophyta; Magnoliopsida; Malpighiales; Euphorbiaceae.
AAAACGCACAGCCUCCCCGAAACUAUUUGCUGCUCUCGCUUCGCUUCUCCGCAAGGAUACCUUCAUUUUCCACUGCUGAAAGCGUCUUCGUUAUCGCACCCCGAAAUACGAUAUGGUUUCGGAUUCUGACCUCGUGACUCGCCUUCGCGAAAUUCUCCGGACUUCCGACCUUGACACCGCCACAGCUGGCAGUGUCCGUAGGAAGUUGGAGGAGGAUUUCGGCCUCGAUUUGUCGGACCGGAAAGUGUUUAUCAGGGAACAAAUCGACCUUUACCUCGAAACCCUACAUAACGAACAUAACGACGAAGAUGAAGAAGAAAAUAUGGCAGAGAAGGUGAAUCAGAAUAACGAAGGCAAUGAAAACGACGCCGUUGAAGAAGAAGAAGAGGUGGAAGAGGAGGAAGAAGAAGACGAGAGUGACGAACAGGGAACUAAAAUAAAAAGGUCAAAUAAGGCUGAAAAAGAAGGCAAGAAAAGAGGAGGUGGCUUUACGAAGCUAUGUUCCCUAUCUCCACAACUUCAAAAGUUUCUUGGGGUGUCUGAAUUAGCUAGAACUGAGGUUGUGAAAAAACUUUGGGCCUAUAUCAGGGAGAACAACUUGCAGGAUCCAAAGAAUAAGCGAAAUAUAAAAUGUGAUGAAGCAUUGCAUGAUCUUUUUCGUGUAAAUUCGAUUAAUAUGUUUCAAAUGAAUAAAGCCCUGUCCAAGCAUAUUUGGCCAUUGACUGCAGAAGCUGAACAUGAAAAGCUGAAGGAAAAAGGUGAAGAUGGUAGUGAUUCUGUGUCAGAAGGUGAUGAUCCAGGCGAAGAACAGGAAGAUGAAGAGGAAGAGGAAUAUGUAGAGAAAGAGGGUACUGAACAAAGCAAGAAAGGAGGGUCUUAUAAGGUGGAUAAAGAUGUUAAGAAAAGAGGAGGUGGCUUUACUAAAUUGUGCAGCCUUUCUCCACAACUUCAAGAGUUCACUGGCGUGCCUGAAUUGGCCAGAACAGAGGUUGUGAAGAAGCUUUGGGCUUAUAUUCGGGAGAAAGAUUUACAAGAUCCAAAGAACAAGCGGAAUAUAAUAUGUGAUGAAUCAUUGCGUGCUCUCUUUCGUGUUGAUUCUAUCAAUAUGUUUCAAAUGAAUAAAGCAUUGUCCAAGCACAUAUGGCCAUUAAAUGAGGAAGAUGCUCCAGACAACUCUAUACAAAAGGAAAGACAGUGCAAGCACGGAAGAGAAGAAGGUUCAAAAGAGCCAAAGCAGAAGGAAAAACGGCAGAAGAAGGGAGCUUCUGGUCUUCUUGUUCCCCUUCCUCUUUCAGAUGCACUUGUAAAAUUUUUUGGCACUGGCGAAAAUACAUUAUCUCGGGCUGAUGUCGUAAAGAGAAUGUGGGAAUACAUAAAACAAAAUGAUCUGCAGGAUCCAUCUGAUAAGAGGAGAAUCAUUUGCGAUGAAAAGUUGAAAGAACUAUUUGAGGUUGACUCGUUCAAUGGCUUCUCAGUUUCAAAGCUCCUGACUGCUCAUUUCAUCAAGAUGGAACAGUGAGUUGCUUAUUUGUACAUAAGCAAGCCCUUUGGAGGCAGCAAUUUUGUUUUUGUCUACAAUAUGUUGCGGCACCCUGUAUGCUUCUUGUUCAAGUAAUGGAAAUGGUUUUUAAGAAAAUCUUGAGUUAUUCUUGCCAUUAUUUUUAGCAUCUAUUAUUUUCUUUCACCCAUCAGGUUUGUGUAAAAGUUUUCUUUUUUAUUUUCCAACUUUUUUUUAGUUGAAUUUGUGUCACUUUGACAUGGAGAGGGGUAAUAUAGGGGUGUCUGACUCCUUUACAUGAUUGGCUAAAUGUGGGACAUCUCCUAGAAUUUGAAUGUAAAGAUUUUCCACAUGGAAAGUUAGCUUGCCAUUUGUCUUGUUGCAGGAGCCAGGGACCUUAAGCUCAAGAAAAUUUUCAUACCUCGUUUGGUUCUUUGCAACAUAUUUUGUCUCUCUAAACAUAAAUGAUGUCCUCGUGCCUUCUGUGUUGUCCAGUUGAUAGGCUUAACCAGUAGUGAAAUUUUAUGUUAGCUUACAAAAUCAGCAUGGUGUAGGUGUGGCUUCAAAUGUGUGAUCGUCUGUUCCUGCGUAUAUGAUUCAUUUUUACUUUGAUGCCAAAAUUAACAAGUCCACUAAUUGAGAUCAUUGUGCAAAUGCUAUAACUUUCCUAGCAGUAGAUUUACUGUCUUGGCCUUACUGUCUUGGCCUCACUGUGGAAGCUGAGCAGGCGUAGGGCUACAUAAACAUAACGUGUCUUGUCUAGCGGAAUAUGAAUCCAAUAUAUAAAAUUUUUUCCAUCCUCUCUUUAUGGGUUUAGCCGAAGCAUGAAGGAAAGGGGGUGGGGAUGCAUCUUCGAGCAAGUGGGAGAGAGGAAUAUUGUUUUUGUGGACCUAGAAAAGUUGAUUGAAUUGGGAUGGAUGGUGUACAAAGAAUGCAUUUGUCACGAUGUGUAUCUCACUUCACUUGUUCUGAAUUGGGAGAAUUUUGUUGA